UUGUCAGCAAUGUCCGAAGGGUCCUCCAAGGGAGCAGUUCUUUGAUAAGAUGGGUCUUGGCCGACAACCCAGUAGAAAUAGAGGGGGAUAACUCUUCAAUACACCUCCAAGGGCGUCGCAGCGAAGCGAAACAUGCAACAGCGUAGCUUAGAAAGGGAAAAUGGGAGGGAAAAUGCUGAGGGGCUUAUGGAAAAGUGAUCGCUGCGGCGUUUCAAAGGUUUCGUCAGGCUGAAGAAAUGCAUUGUCUGGCACUUUUGAGGAACCCAGUUUAACAGAAUCCUUGCUCAGACCAACCCAGGAUGUCAGCUACAAAAUCUACAUUAACUCGGCCUAAAUUGAAAUUCUUUUGGCAAUUUAUCAAGUAUUCCGUGCGCGUCAAAGACAAGAGGCCAGCUGCACUUAGAGAAAAUCAACACUUCUCACAUGCCACUGUGGAGCGGUUUGAGUUUCACUCUGAUGGUCUUGAAGUCUGGUCUCUGAUCC
This 483-nucleotide long non-coding RNA is filed under the name Acanthaster planci (crown-of-thorns starfish). RNAcentral's name for it is "uncharacterized LOC110979678, transcript variant X1". Lineage: Eukaryota; Metazoa; Echinodermata; Asteroidea; Valvatida; Acanthasteridae. The record is from RNAcentral.